CGACGCCAUCCCCCCGCCCAGGGCCAAGGGGGAGCAGGGCUGUGGAGAGCAUGACCCCCUUGUUAAAUCACGUCUGCCUUUAUGCCUUGAUACACCACACAGAGAGAUGACGGGAGAUACCACCAAGAUGAGAUGCCAACCUGGGAGAGGCUCUGCAGGUCCCCUGGUGCCCACGUCUACCUGGCUUGUCCCCACAGGUGGGUUUUCUGAGACAAGGGGGCUUUUGGACACAGGUCUGUCCCCAGAGCCAGCCAGCAGCUCCAGAGAAGAGACAGCAGGU
RNAcentral lists this long non-coding RNA (280 nucleotides) under Pan troglodytes (chimpanzee). Its description in RNAcentral is "long non-coding RNA NONPTRT009813". Lineage: Eukaryota; Metazoa; Chordata; Mammalia; Primates; Hominidae. The record is from RNAcentral.